GUGUCAGCAGCCGCGGUAAGACGAACCGUCCUAACGUUGUUCGGAAUCACUGGGCUUAAAGGGCGCGUAGGCGGAUGAGCAAGUCCGGAGUGAAAUCUUUCGGCUUAACCGGAAAAGUGCUUUGGAUACUGCUUGUCUUGAGGGAGGUAGGGGCAUGUGGAACUUCUGGUGGAGCGGUGAAAUGCGUUGAUAUCAGAAGGAACGCCGGUGGCGAAAGCGACGUGCUGGCCCUCUUCUGACGCUGAGGCGCGAAAGCUAGGGGAGCAAACGGGAUUAGAUACCCCGGUAGUCC
Molecule: ribosomal RNA, 292 nt
Filed under: uncultured bacterium
Lineage: Bacteria
Description: partial 16S ribosomal RNA
Rfam family: Bacterial small subunit ribosomal RNA
Source: RNAcentral